GCGGGUGUAGCUCAGUUGGUAGAGCAUCAGCUUCCCAAGCUGAGGGUCGCGGGUUCGAGUCCCGUCACCCGCU
RNAcentral lists this transfer RNA (73 nucleotides) under bacterium. RNAcentral describes it as "tRNA-Gly". It matches the Rfam family "tRNA". Rfam says of the family: Transfer RNA (tRNA) molecules are approximately 80 nucleotides in length. The record is from RNAcentral. RNAcentral also lists the same sequence under 5 other names.